This is a long non-coding RNA of Triticum aestivum (bread wheat), 983 nucleotides long. RefSeq lists it as uncharacterized. Lineage: Eukaryota; Viridiplantae; Streptophyta; Magnoliopsida; Poales; Poaceae. The record is from RefSeq and is a predicted model, not a curated record. The transcript has 2 exons.
ACAGCGACCGUGAAAUUUAUGACCCGACAGUGGUGGGCCUGGAUCCUUAAACUAUGUGAAAUACGUUCGACUAUACAACGUCAUAUACAGUGGGUUGUGCGAUCGGGAUGCCAGUGGAUGAGGGAGAUAAAGAGCACACCUCUGCUCGUGCUCAGAACAGCACUUUCGCGGUGUUUCUGGACACGAGAGCACAUGUGCUCGCUAUCUGGGAGGGUCGUUCAUGUCUUGAGAUGCGGCGCAUUUAAUGGCGAAGCAACAGGAAACGGCGGAAUGCCGGCCACCGUUACCCCGUCGGAGUUGAUCCCUGCCGGCGUGCGAAGGAGCAUCCCGAGAUCUGGCUCAUGGAGUUCGUGAUGCAACCAAUACAAAGAUCCCCUUUGACUGAGGAGGCGGAUGGAAGUGUAGCGCCGAUGGAUCUGCUGGCUUUCGGGACGGUGGGCUCUCUGCGGGAAGUGGAUGAAGCGACGGCCGCAGCCUUGAGUGAAGAUCCGUGGAUCUAUGAAGAAGAAACGAGCGUUGACUCAAGGCGGGAGAGCUGGCCGCAGGUGUUGGUCUGUUGGAGAUGUCAAUCGGCAAGUUCUGAUCCGAAUAAUACAUUAUGAGUUUCUGGCUCCGAGCCUCUGAAAAUCGGCGUAACAGUACUUGCAUAGAGCUAUGAUAUUCUUCGUUAGAGUACAGAUGUGAGUGCACUGAUUUGUACUUCCUCCGUUUUAAAAUAGAUGACCCAACUUUGUACUAAUUUUAGUACAAAAUUAGUACAAAGUUGGGUCAUCUAUUUUGGAACGGAGGGAGUACAAAUUAGUCAUGAAAUGGUGAACAUCAGCAACUUAUAAAUGUGGAUUACGGGUAGGUGAAGUGUUGGAAAAAGUACUUGGACAAUUUGUACAGCUAUGUCUUGUUCUAAUUUCACUGUACUAGUAAGCAUGCACGUGCAACGCACGACUGAUUAGUAUGUUAUUUUAUAUCCUAAUUGAGCUUCUUGA